Vigna unguiculata (cowpea) is the source of this 1803-nucleotide long non-coding RNA. NCBI's taxonomy places the organism in Eukaryota, Viridiplantae, Streptophyta, Magnoliopsida, Fabales, Fabaceae. The record is from RefSeq and is a predicted model, not a curated record.
GAGAAAGAAAGCUCAAGUUAUCCAAUAAAAGAAUGCUACUCCCCACAAACUUUCUCGAGGAGGGUAUGACUUAUUGGAAAAGAAAAGUUAAAGAAACAAAUGGAGAUAUCUUUUGGUGAAGAAGUUCUUUCUCCUCCAUCUCCUCCUAGCUGACAUGAGAAAUGGAAUAUGGUUUCUACAAAAGUAGGAGGACAAAUGACAUUUGAGAAAUCACCGAUGAUUGCUUAACGAAAUGAUGAACUUGUAGAACAAAGUUCACAAUGUAGUUUUGUCUCUUAGGGUCUUCGUGACAUAUUGACCACUACUAUUGAUACCGAAGAGCACCCUGUGCGUACCACUACUUUUGGUGUGGGCAUGAGACAAUAUUUUGGAUCAUGUCCGCAACCCAACACUUCUAGGACACCUAUGACUUAGGAGAUGAUGGAGCAAUUCGCUUAUUUGUUCGGCAAAUAAGGAGACAAGUUAUCGAAGAUUUAAGGCGCAAGUGGGAGCAAUGAUGGGAGUCCAUGUCCCCCCACCAUAAUGUGAUACAUCCAGAUCAAAUGAAUCCUCGUAGCACCAAAGAUAGUUAUGAUGUAGCGGAUGAAGGUGAUGACAUAGAGACUGAUAUCUCCUAUCGCUCUAAAUUGUUUGUUGGAGGUGUUCCUCAUUUUCUAGCCAUUGGGAGAGUUUAUCCAGGUGGGUCCACCAUGCACACUGUGCCAAUGUCUGAUGAUUUGGUUAGAGUGGUGGUUGAAGAAAUUAGAGAUGCCACUACUCCAAUACCAGUAGUGGGAGACGCACUUAGAACAUUUAUCUCAUGGCCGAAAUAAUUAAUUAAGUCUAUUUCAACAAAGAAGGUAUGCUUUUCUUAAUUACAUUAUUACAUAACUUUUAACUCACAUCAUAUUUAAGUUUGUUAGUAUGUUUUGUAAGACCUUAGGAUUAGGAAAAAGUCCCCAGUUGCAUCUCAUUCAAGCCUUGAGCUCGAGGAUGAGUCGGAGCACGAACCACAACCUAACCUGAAUGUUAAUCCAAUUCAGGGGUUGAUUGUGGCUUCGUCUGAUUUGUAUCAAUCACCUUGUGCCAUUCCUUAGGAUGCAAUAAUCUUUGGAGUUGACAAUGGUGAUAUACCUUUGUAUAUUAACAUGUUCGAUUUGUUUGAAAUAUUCCAAGGUAAUUAGAUGUUGAACAUUGCAGUCAUUAAACUUUGGAUGAUGUGAGUACACUUUAAAUGUAGAUUUUGCAUUAAAUUAUAUUUUGUGAAAUCAACCUAAACCUUGUGAAUUUUAUGAAUGCAUGUAUCUAAAUGAAUUAUUUGUCAAAGCGGGGAACAAUAAUAUUUAUGGUUUCCUUGAGCCUCAAAUUAUAGAAAAGUCUGGGAAUAGAUCAAUGCACACUCAAACUUGUAUUCAACGGUGGAUACAUGCAUCCAAGAAAAGAAUUUACAUCGUCCCUUAUAUUCAUGGGUCUCAUUGGCAGUUGAUUAUUAUUUGCCCGAUAGAUCGUAUUGUUGUAUGGUUUUGUUCAUUGCACAACAAGCCAAGCAAAUAAAUGAAAACUUUAAUACAAAGUGUUGUUAACGUCAAUGAUGUCUUUGAUGGUAAAUCCACUACAUCUUCAUCCCAUCUUGAUUGGAUUUGUCCUAAGUGCAAUAGGCACGUGGAAGCUUUGAGUGUGGAUAUUACGUUAUGUAUUGGAUGUGGACUAUAGCUCGUGCUACUAUUGUUGAUUCAUGAGCCAAUGUUUUUGAGGCUGUCGAACCAUUGGGAAAAGAUAAACUUGAAGAAAUUCGUAUGAAAUUGGUAAGAUAUUUUUUGAGGC